GGGGUUGUGGCUCAGUGGUAGAGCACUCACCUAGAACAUGUGAGGACCUGGGUUCGAUCCUCAGCACCACA
This 71-nucleotide transfer RNA is filed under the name Marmota monax (woodchuck). RNAcentral's name for it is "tRNA.Ser". It matches the Rfam family "tRNA". From Rfam's summary of the family: Transfer RNA (tRNA) molecules are approximately 80 nucleotides in length. Their secondary structure includes four short double-helical elements and three loops (D, anti-codon, and T loops). Lineage: Eukaryota; Metazoa; Chordata; Mammalia; Rodentia; Sciuridae. The record is from RNAcentral.